UCAAAUUUUAAGUCCUGUUUGUGUUUCCUUGGUGAAGGAACAUAUGUAAAUUGAAACCAAGUUAUUUGAACAUCCUUUGAAGUGAAAGCGAUAAGACUUUAAUGAAACCACUAAGCAUCUGUACUGUUCACUGGUAAUAAAACCAUCACACAUAUAUACUGUUAAAAAAACAAAUAAAAAACAAUUUCAUGUUUCUUCUCAUAUAAAGUGUCACGAUUGAAACUGCGUCUGAGAAAUUACAAUUAGCUAAGCUUGAGGCUUAUAGAGAGCAAAAAGAGGGAGAAAGAGAGGAAAGAGAAAAAAGAGAGAUAGAAAGAGAGAGAGAGAGCAGGAAAAAGAAAGAGAGCAAAGAACGCAGAGAGACAGAGAAAUGGCUCAUGAGGAGAAAAUGUUGGCGAUGAGGAUGAGAGAAACUGAGGUUGGUGGGACCCAAUCCCUCUAUCCCAAACCAAAUUUACCACACAGGACAUAAAAUGGUUCCCAAAGUACCAAAGGGGAGAGAAUGUAGAACCAUUUCUCACCAUUUUGAAAGAACUUGGAGGUACCUGAGGCGAGGAGAGUGGCACACUUAAGACCAUUGCUUUGUGGUGAAUUAAAUGAGAUAUAUGCCAACCUGAGAGAUGAGGAGAUCUCUGGUUAUAAUUUGUUUAAGGAAAGAGUGAAACUGAGGUUUGGGCUAACAACUGGGCAAAGCCGAAGAGAAAUAAAACCAAAACCAGAUGAAACAUAUUCACAAUUGUGUUGUAGGUUGGAUAAAGCAUUGGACAGGUAGACUGAGGGAAGUAAAGUGAUUACUUUCAGGAACUGAAGCAUCGUGUUAGUUUGGAACAAUUUUACAAAUUGGUACCACCGCAAAUGAGAUGGUUCAUCAAACAUAAAAGAAUCAAAACCGUUGCUGCAAUGGCCACCUUACUAGACAAACUAGAAUGCAAUUUGAAGGGUGGAUACUGCCCAAGUCCCUCUAAGAAGCCGAGAGACUUGGGCAGUAUUCACCCUCCAAAUUGCAUUCUAGUUUUUCUAGUAACGGGGCCACUGCAGCAACGGUUUUGAUUCUUUUAUUUUUGAUGAACUACCUCAUUUGCGGUGGUACCAAUUUGUAAAGUUGUUCCAAACCAACACGAUGCUUCAGUUCCUGAAAGAAGUCGCUUUACUUCCUUCAAUUCACCUGUCCAGCACUUCAUUUACCCUACAACACAAUUGUGAAUAUGUUUCACCUGGUUUUCUCUGGUUAUUUCUCUUCGGCUUUGCCCUGCUGUUAGCCCAAACCUCAGUUUCACUCUUUACUUAAACAAGUUAUAAUCAGAGAUCUCCUCAUCUCUCAGGUCGGCAUAUAUCUC
RNAcentral lists this long non-coding RNA (1337 nucleotides) under Anolis carolinensis (green anole). RNAcentral describes it as "lncRNA (ENSACAG00000037912.1)". Lineage: Eukaryota; Metazoa; Chordata; Lepidosauria; Squamata; Anolidae. The record is from RNAcentral.